RNAcentral lists this ribosomal RNA (454 nucleotides) under uncultured bacterium. Its description in RNAcentral is "partial 16S ribosomal RNA". It matches the Rfam family "Bacterial small subunit ribosomal RNA", at positions 28 to 507 of the family's 1533-position model. The record is from RNAcentral.
GAUGAACGCUGACAGAAUGCUUAACACAUGCAAGUCAACUUGAACUUCGGUUUGGGUGGCGGACGGGUGAGUAACGCGUAAAGAACUUGCCUCACAGUUAGGGACAACAUUUGGAAACGAAUGCUAAUACCUGAUAUUAUGAUUUUAGGGCAUCCUAGAAUUAUGAAAGCUAUAUGCGCUGUGAGAGAGCUUUGCGUCCCAUUAGCUAGUUGGAGAGGUAACGGCUCACCAAGGCGAUGAUGGGUAGCCGGCCUGAGAGGGUGAACGGCCACAAGGGGACUGAGACACGGCCCUUACUCCUACGGGAGGCAGCAGUGGGGAAUAUUGGACAAUGGACCAAGAGUCUGAUCCAGCAAUUCUGUGUGAACGAUGAAGUUUUUCGGAAUGUAAAGUGCUUUCAGUUGGGAAGAAAAAAAUGACGAUACCAACAGAAGAAGUGACGGCUAAAUACGUG